UAUUUUUUCCUCCACCUUCUUCAAUUGUUCCUACAAACUUGGUGACAGAAUCAGACAAGUUGCCAGAGAAGUCCAGACAAAGUUUCCCACAGCUCAGAACACAUUAUCUUAUAACUCACUAAUAAUCAUCAGCAGAGGAGUUGUUUCCAGAAGGAAGCAGUAGUACUUCUCAUUUUGCCUGCAAGAGGCAUUUGUCUCGGGACAUUUAGAUGCUUUAGAACAGAAGAACGGCCCUACUGGGGUAGACCACAGGUCCAUCUAGCCCAGUAUCCUGUCUUCCGACAGUGGCCAUUGCCAGAUGCCCCAGAGGGAAUGAAUAGAACAGAGAGCAUCUCAUCUCAACUAGGAUAAUGGAAUUUUAUGUAGGAAGACCAGAGGAACAACAAUUAAUCCAAAAGUAUAUCAAGAACCAACCACCCUGGUGGCAGAAACUGAGGACAGGUAGAAAACUGAGAACAGGAUGAAAUACAUGCGAAUCCCAAUUCCUUACUACUGCAACUGAACGAGCAGCAGCUACAAUCAAGAAUUCAGUUGCAAGCACAAGAGGUCAGACUAGUGCAGAGUAUGGAUCUUGCUAACAACAGAGGCCUCAACUUGCUACUCAAUUUCCUGCUUAUUGUUAUGGUUCUGGUGCUCAUGUUUAUCCUUGUGAAACUCAUGUGAAUCUCCUUGAGGUUCUGCUUUUUUUGCAAUGAUAACUUAACACAACAUGUGAAGAUUGCAUAAACUAGAAAAGUGUCUAUAAAGUAUAUGAAUAUUACAUGCUCAUGUAUCUACUCUACAGCAAAAUAUCUUAAAAGCAAAACAAUCAACAUAUUUGCCAAAGGCUAAGAGGAGUGUAUAAUUCCAUGCUGGCGACAAAAGGACACUGUAUCUAAGCAUACACAGUACUCUUGCCACUGGUAUAAUAAACCGAUUACUUGUAUUUAAACAACGAAGAAUCAAAGGCAGAAUUCUUCUAGGAGUACAAUCUCUGCAAAGAGGAGAACAGAAACAACAACAAUGGAAUCUUCAUAGAGCGGCCUCUCUGAAGAAAACUGAAACACAGGCCUGAAAAGGACAAGAGAGAUGCCUAAAGCUGAUUGAUGGCAAGUAUCAGAUUACGUAUGGAAAAGAAAAAACAAAAAUGUUGUUGUGGCUAUUCAAAAGCAAAUCCCACCAUCUGGUUACAGGAUUUGUCAUGCAUGUUCAAAUAUAAAAAAUUAUUAACUGCAGUUUUUUAAAAGGCGUACCAUCCACUGCAGCAUUUGAAGGGGAGGAAAAAAACAAAACAAAAAAAAACACCUCAGCAAGCAGUUCUAUUAUGCAUCAGUAUUGAAAGAAUUACACCAAUCACCAGCUGUUAAGCUUAAUAUUUUGAGCAGUAACAAGGUAAUAUAAAAUAGAGAAUGCUAUCAAGUCUCACUCUACUUCAGUCUCUCUGAAGUUUGCUGAAAGUCUCAUGCAAUAGUAGAUGGGAUGGCCUGGAUACUUACAAUUAAAGCUUCUCACUGUUGUCUGCAAAUGAAGUAUGUGCAAUAAAUAUCUAAACAGCCUUUUCAAAAAUCAAAAAGACAUAUAUAGCAACAAGCUGUAAAGUCAAUAGCUAUUCUAUGUUGAUACACUAUUGUCAAUUUCUGUAUCGAUUGUCAAUGUAUGUUUCAAAGAGGAAAAGUUACCCAGCUACUUCAUUAUAAGCACUUUAUCACCUUUUGUUUGAUAUUUUGGAGGAUAUUCUGCUUUUAUAAAAUGUCUGUACAUUCAUAUACGAGGGAUCUAAAUUAUAGCAAUGGGUUCAUUUAAUGUUUUGAUUAACCCGUUUAGAGCCUCACUGAGUAGGCACAUUACCACAAUAUGAAGUAUACCAAAUCCAAACAUACAAACUAAUCCAAAGCCCACUGCAGUCAAAAGGAACGACCAUGCUAUAAUUUUCUAACGACAUGCCUAUUCACAGAUAUGCUGCAUAUAUCGCUUUAGAAUGUACUGUGUAUAUAUAAACAACUACAGCUAUCUAAGAGUUUGUAUCAAAAGAGACAAUUUGAAAAAAAGGAAAAACGGUGACUCUAUGGGUUGUAUUUAUAUUUCACUUUUUAUCCCAAAUCACUUUACAAAUGAAGCAUACAAGAAUCUCACCACCCUCCACUAAUGCGUAGCUACCUCUGGGGACGAAUGAAACAACUGUUUAUCAACCAAGCAGUGACACUACACAAGUUUGAGACAGACACUAAAACAUACAGCUUUAACUAGACAGAAUAUAAAUUUGUAUGAGCUACUGGGAGUAACAUGUCUUCUGCAGCAAACAGAGGCAUAAUAUUUUUACUGAUCAAAAAUGGUCAAGAUUGGAUUUACACAUCAGCCAUCAGCAUGUAUUGAAAACCAGUCCCACAUACUUAUUGUAUUAAGAUGAAGCCCUAGUUGUCAAAUCCCAAGACCACCAACUUCACAACGAACAGAAUAUAAAAAGCAACUUCAGUGAGGCACAACAAUGAAUAUUAAUUAAACUAAAAGUGACUGCAGUUUUUAGCAUGAAAAAUUCUCUGAAAAUACCAUUUAAUUAAAAAUGAAAUUUUCUGUGGGGAAAUGUUGAUUUUGAGAAAAGAUUUCAAUUUUUUGAUCAGGUGGGACCAAAGUAAAAAUAUUAUGAGUUGACAUUUCAAAAUGAAACUAUUUCUUCAUUUCAAAAUGUCAAUUUGAAGAGAAUGGUAUCAUUCAACAUGUCAGAUUGUUUUGCUCACAAAUGUAGACAUUUAGUUGAGUAUUUCCAAUUCACAAGUUUAAAUAUUUUGAUUUACAAAAUGUUUUGAUAUUUUGACUUUCCAUUCUGAUUUGGAAUGCAAACUAAUUUUGAAUUGUCUAAAUUUUCCAAGAGACUAAAAAAAUCAUCUCCCAAACAGCUCUAAUAUUAACCUAUGCAUGCUUUAAACAGAGAGGAGGGCUAAGCACCUCGUUAAUGGCAAAAAGACAAAUUAAGGGGAAAGCCAGACUACUAAGUAACUUCCAUCCAGCACAGAUGUUGCCUCCCAGAUGAACUGGUGCAGUAUACUAAACUCAAGUGUAAUCGCGGUAUGAAACAAAAACACACACACACACACACACACACACACACACACACACACACACACACACAAUGAGAGCACUGGGGGUGGCGGUAGGAUGUGUGGUGAGGACAUGGGCCUGGCGUCAGCACAGGGCCAGCUUCACUCCACACAGCCGCCCUGGGGCCAGUCCCAGUUUACUCAAGGUAGUGAGACCCCACCCAGGAAAUGGUGGGGGGGAAGGGUGCUCCACUCAUCAUGCAAACCCAGCUGCUCAGAUCGGGGAGAAGGCCAGCAUGAGCCAGCAUCCGACACUGCCCCCCUUAGUGCCUGGAGAACCAACCCCUCCCCAGAGUUCCCUUUGGGCCACUGUAGCUCUGACCUCUUCGUGCCGUGAUGGGGCCAGGAAUGGUAGUACCAUGAUGCAGGACUCAGCCUACGGAGCUGCAUGUGGUUUCUUGUGCAAAGGAGCAAACAUGGCUCCUCCAGUUAUUCCUGCAGGAUGUUUCUGCAUCCUUGGUUUCAAGAUUUCUGUGGGUCCAACUGAACCCAUGAACCCCUGCUAAAGCCACCCUGGCUUCCACCUAUUAUAACAAUACUAGAGUCAGAUGCAAGUCAGGGUAGUCUAAAGAAGCCUCUUUUCACCAAGUAUACAAACAUACUGUAUAUUAAAAGAGAAGGAAGAUGUUCUUCCAAAGACACCUAGUACAUAGUACUAAUACGCAGGUUUGCAACCUGCUGAAACAUUUCUUACUGUAUGUUCUCCUGCAGUUUUCAAGACAAAGUAUUUUAAUUUUAAAUCUUAUUUCUAGUUGCUGUACAACAUUCAGCUCUACAUCAACAAUAUCAAGGUUUGAGAAACUACUAUUCACAAAUACUCCUAGUCAAACCUUUCACAGCCUUAAGGGGCAUAUUUCUUCACUUCAAAUUUUAUGCCCGGCUUCUAGUUAAAUCAAUGGGAGCCUUGGUCAUGCAUCUGAGGCUAAAAUUUUGCCCUAAAAGGUGCCUAAUCCUGCAGCACUUUCCUGUGGAAAAAAGUUACCUAAAAAUGGGAUUUCUGUGUGCUGGAAUAUUAGGCAUAAGUAGGGAAUAACUAAGCAUAAUGCCUAAUGGCAUGGGAAUAUAUAGUGUGGAUCUUUCUAGCUCACUAAGAAAAGGUUAACCUUAUGUUUAAAAAAAAAUAAAAUAUCUGCUUCUUGAAGGUCUGUUUAUAUCUUAGAUUAGAGGAUUUGAUGAGAGACAUGCCCUCAAAACAGCACAUGUUGGUGAAGACAACCUCAAGAAUGCUCCCAUGAUGUUACUGAGUAUCAGAGAAACACUUAAAAGCUAGUAACCUCCCCUGAAAUUUGUUUCACAACACAUAUGUUUAGAUAUUAUAGCCGGAGGUGAACAUUUUAUAAUCUCUUCAGAGUAAUAUGCAUCUCCUUUGAAAAUCUAAUCUGUUGAUCCACGUCACUUUUUUUAAAAAACAGUUCCAAUAUAAAGAUGCUUUUCACAUAGCCUGAGGUUGAGUACAGAAUGUGUUUAAUAGACCAACUUUUCUGCACACACUUUCUGAUGUAAUGUUCAGGGCAAGUUAUCAUUGUUCUAGCUACAUUCUUAGUCAAAGAUAAAUUUGGUUAUAAUUUUGUGUUUUCUUUAGUGUAGAAACAGCGUAUGUGGCUUCUUUCUGCCUGCUCUAAAAAUCACUGCAUUUCAAUCAGUACACAUACUUCCAAACAGAUGGCACAUUUCUUAUUGCACUGUUAAAAGAUUGUCACCAUCAGCAAAAAUGGUCUCUAGUGUCAUGAAAUGAAACUCCUUACUUUGAAAAGGAAAAUAAGGUUUACCAUCCUGUUAUUGUAUUGUACACAGUAUCACUGCUUUACUAUUUUUUUAAUAAAACUAACUUUUAACAAGAUUUUUAAUUUUUCAUAAACAGUAGCAAAUCAACUUCAGGAGAUUCUGCUGUUUGGACAGUAUUCAAUAUGUAAAAUAGCAUUACAAAUAAAUAAAUUUUAUUGCAGAAACAUUU
Molecule: RNA transcript, 5028 nt
Organism: Trachemys scripta elegans
Lineage: Eukaryota; Metazoa; Chordata; Testudines; Emydidae
Gene: PLN
Gene name: phospholamban
Exons: 6
Source: RefSeq, a predicted model, not a curated record